This is a long non-coding RNA of Mustela lutreola (European mink), 433 nucleotides long. RefSeq lists it as uncharacterized. NCBI's taxonomy places the organism in Eukaryota, Metazoa, Chordata, Mammalia, Carnivora, Mustelidae. The transcript has 4 exons. The record is from RefSeq and is a predicted model, not a curated record.
AGAAUUUCAUAUAUUGAUCUGUGGAUGAAAGAUGAAGAAUAUGUCAAGAUCUUUAAAUGCAAAACAUUGAAAAGGAUGUAAAUCUGAUGGAUCAGGAUGGAAUGACGUCUUUCAUGCGGGCAGCUUAUAGAACACAGAGCAAACUAGUAGAAGCACAUAACCAGGAUUUAUACUUCUACACAGUUGUUUUUGAUCCAGGAUUAUGUAAGAAAAAAAGGGAGUGGGAUAUGGUACUUAACCAAAAGAGAACAAACAGUUGAUGGGGUCUGGACGUUAAGAAGAGAUCACAAGUAGGCAGAGAGGCAGGAGAAAGAGAAAGAGAGAGAAGAAGAAGCAGGCUCCCUGCUGAGCAGAGACCCUGAUGCGAGACUCAAUCCGAGGACCCUGGGAUCAUAACCUGAGCCAUAGACAGAGGCUUUAACCCACUGAGCCA